GACGAACGCUGGCGGCGUGCUUAACACAUGCAAGUCGAACGAUGAAGAAAAGAUUCGAAGCUUCGGCAGAAAUUCAUGUCGGAUUAGUGGCAGACGGGUGAGUAACUCGUGAGCAACCUACCUCUGACAAAGGGAUAGCCUCGGGAAACCGGGAUUAAUACCAUAUAACAUUUCGACGAAGCAUUUCGAUGCAAUCAAAGCUACGGCGGUAAGAGAUGGGCUGGCGUCCCAUUAACCGGAUGGUGAGGUAACGGCUCACCAUAGUGACGAUGGGUAACCGGGGUGAGAGGGUGAACGGUGACACUGGAACUGAGACGCGGUCCAGACUCCUACGGGAGGCAGCAGUGGGGAAUAUUGCACAAUGGAGGGAACUCUGAUGCAGCGACGCCGCGUGAGUGAUGAAGGAAUUCGUUACGCAAAACUCUGUUAUAUGGGAAGAAAAGGACUGUACCAUAGGAGAAAGCUCCGGCUAAAUACGUG
Molecule: ribosomal RNA, 480 nt
Filed under: uncultured bacterium
Lineage: Bacteria
Description: partial 16S ribosomal RNA
Rfam family: Bacterial small subunit ribosomal RNA
Source: RNAcentral